This 453-nucleotide ribosomal RNA is filed under the name uncultured bacterium. RNAcentral's name for it is "partial 16S ribosomal RNA". It matches the Rfam family "Bacterial small subunit ribosomal RNA", at positions 28 to 523 of the family's 1533-position model. The record is from RNAcentral.
GAUGAACGCUGGCGGUCUGCUUAACACAUGCAAGUCGAACGGAAUCCUUCGGGAUUUAGUGGCGGACGGGUGAGUAACGCGUGAGAAUCUGCCUUCAGGUUCGGGACAACAGCUGGAAACGGCUGCUAAUACCGGAUGUGCCGAGAGGUGAAAGCUUUGGUGCCUGAAGAUGAGCUCGCGUCUGAUUAGCUAGUAGGAGUGGUAAUGGCACCCCUAGGCGACGAUCAGUAGCUGGUCUGAGAGGAUGAUCAGCCACACUGGGACUGAGACACGGCCCAGACUCCUACGGGAGGCAGCAGUGGGGAAUUUUCCGCAAUGGGCGCAAGCCUGACGGAGCAAGACCGCGUGAGGGAAGAAGGUCUGUGGAUUGUAAACCUCUUUUGAUGGGGAAGAAGACAGUGACGGUACCCAUCGAAUCAGCCUCGGCUAACUCCGUGCCAGCAGCCGCAGUAA